UUUCAAAACACAUUAUCUUUUAAGUACCCAGCCAGUUUCCAUCCAUAUGAAUUUGUGUGGGGUGGGAAUAUGGAAAAAGAAAUUUCCAGUUAAUAGUAGAGAAUUAAGAUCUCUUCAAUCAGUCUUUUCUUCAAGAGAAUAGAACUAAUUGUUAUCAAUGCCAAAUACAAAAUCAGUGUAUUGAAAUCAACCAUGAGGAAUUUCAUGACAGCCCACGGUUGAUGCAAAGGACACAGCAGUGAGAUGAUGGAUGCAUCCCUUGUCCUCCCCAUUAUCUCUACCCUGACAUGAUUUGAGAAUAUUGAACCGUGACAUAAAGACCGGCCUGGAGCAGCAGCACGAUGGAGGAUGGUGCACUUACACCAAACCCUGAGGAGAAACAGGAUUUGUGUUUCAGAGAAGAGCGUUUAAGAGGAAAUGUCAUCAAUUAGGUACUGAAUAAUCAGAAUUUGGAAUGUUGUUGGUAUCUUUAGCAUCUGUAAAUUAAACUAACCUCAAAACAACAUUAACUCUUCGGUAAUAAAGAAAACAAAGAUGGAGUUUA
Peromyscus eremicus (cactus mouse) is the source of this 544-nucleotide long non-coding RNA. RefSeq lists it as uncharacterized. The record is from RefSeq and is a predicted model, not a curated record. The transcript has 2 exons. NCBI's taxonomy places the organism in Eukaryota, Metazoa, Chordata, Mammalia, Rodentia, Cricetidae.